AAAAUUAAAGGUYUAAUYUGCCCAAUGAUAUUUGAAUGGCCGCGGUAAUUUGACCGUGCAAAGGUAGCAUAAUUAUUAGUCUUUUAAUUGAAGGCUUGUAUGAAAGAUUGGAUGAAAAAUAAACUUUAUUAAUAUAAAUUAUUUAAUUUAUCAUUUAAGUAAAAAUUCUUAAAUAUAUAAGUAGGACGAGAAGACCCUAUAGAGUUUCAUUUUUAUUUUUAUUAUAAAAUUCAAGAAUUAAUAUUUUUAUAAUUAAAAUAAAUUUUUUAUUGGGGUGAUAUUAAAAAUUUUUAAACUUUUAAUUAAUAUUUCAUUAAUAUAUGUAUAUUUGAUCCAAAAAAAAAAAUUGAUUAUAAGAUAAAAUUACCUUAGGGAUAACAGCGUUAUUAAUUUGAAGAGUUCAAAUCGAUAAAUUAKUUUGCGACCUCGAUGUUGGAUUAARAAUAAAUUUUGAAGUAGCUUUUAAAAUUAUGGGUCUGUUCGACCUUUAAAUUCUUACG
This 500-nucleotide ribosomal RNA is filed under the name Platypleura sp. 16 MHV-2009. RNAcentral's name for it is "partial 16S ribosomal RNA". The record is from RNAcentral. Lineage: Eukaryota; Metazoa; Arthropoda; Insecta; Hemiptera; Cicadidae.